Molecule: ribosomal RNA, 292 nt
Filed under: uncultured bacterium
Lineage: Bacteria
Description: partial 16S ribosomal RNA
Rfam family: Bacterial small subunit ribosomal RNA
Source: RNAcentral
GUGCCAGCCGCCGCGGUAAUACGUAGGGUGCGAGCGUUAAUCGGAAUUACUGGGCGUAAAGCGUGCGCAGGCGGUUCGCUGUGUCCUGUGUGAAAGCCCCGGGCUUAACCUGGGAAUGGCAUGGGAAACUGGCGAGCUUGAGUGCGGCAGAGGGGGGUGGAAUUCCGCGUGUAGCAGUGAAAUGCGUAGAGAUGCGGAGGAACACCGAUGGCGAAGGCAGCCCCCUGGGUCGACACUGACGCUCAGGCACGAAAGCGUGGGGAGCAAACAGGAUUAGAAACCCCCGUAGUCC